This 253-nucleotide ribosomal RNA is filed under the name uncultured bacterium. Its description in RNAcentral is "partial 16S ribosomal RNA". It matches the Rfam family "Bacterial small subunit ribosomal RNA", at positions 524 to 776 of the family's 1533-position model. The record is from RNAcentral.
UACGAAGGGGGCUAGCGUUGUUCGGAAUUACUGGGCGUAAAGCGCACGUAGGCGGAUACUUAAGUUAGGGGUGAAAUCCCGGGGCUCAACCCCGGAACUGCCUCCAAAACUACUAGUCUUGAGAUCGUGAGAGGUGAGUGGAAUUCCGAGUGUAGAGGUGAAAUUCGUAGAUAUUCGGAGGAACAUCAGUGGCGAAGGCGGCUCACUGGUCCGGUACUGACGCUGAGGUGCGAAAGCGUGGGGAGCAAACAGG